AGAGUGAACGCUGGCGGCAGGCCUAACACAUGCAAGUCGAGCGGCAGCACAGGUAGCAAUACCGGGUGGCGAGCGGCGGACGGGUGAGGAAUACAUCGGAAUCUGCCUUGUUGUGGGGGAUAACGUAGGGAAACUUACGCUAAUACCGCAUAAGACCGUAAGGUGAAAGCGGGGGAUCGAAAGACCUCGCGCGACAAGAUGAGCCGAUGUCGGAUUAGCUAGUUGGUGAGGUAAUGGCUCACCAAGGCGACGAUCCGUAGCUGGUCUGAGAGGAUGAUCAGCCACACUGGAACUGAGACACGGUCCAGACUCCUACGGGAGGCAGCAGUGGGGAAUUUGCGCAAUGGGGGAAACCCUGACGCAGCAACGCCGCGUGGAGGAUGAAGUCCCUUGGGACGUAAACUCCUUUCGACCGGGACGAUAAUGACGGUACCGGAAGAAGAAGCCCCGGCUAACUUCGUGCCAGCAGCCGCGGUAA
This 478-nucleotide ribosomal RNA is filed under the name uncultured bacterium. RNAcentral's name for it is "SSU rRNA". It matches the Rfam family "Bacterial small subunit ribosomal RNA", at positions 26 to 523 of the family's 1533-position model. The record is from RNAcentral.